AUUGAACGCUGGCGGCAGGCCUAACACAUGCAAGUCGAACGGUAACAGGAAGACGCUUGCUUCUUUGCUGACGAGUGGCGGACGGGUGAGUAAUGCCUGGGAAACUGCCUGAUGGAGGGGGAUAACUACUGGAAACGGUAGCUAAUACCGCAUAACGUCGCAAGACCAAAGAGGGGGACCUUCGGGCCUCUUGCCAUCGGAUGUGCCCAGAUGGGAUUAGCUAGUAGGUGGGGUAACGGCUCACCUAGGCGACGAUCCCUAGCUGGUCUGAGAGGAUGACCAGCCACACUGGAACUGAGACACGGUCCAGACUCCUACGGGAGGCAGCAGUGGGGAAUAUUGCACAAUGGGCGCAAGCCUGAUGCAGCCAUGCCGCGUGUAUGAAGAAGGCCUUCGGGUUGUAAAGUACUUUCAGCGGGGAGGAAGGGAGUAAAGUUAAUACCUUUGCUCAUUGACGUUACCCGCAGAAGAAGCACCGGCUAACUCCGUG
RNAcentral lists this ribosomal RNA (490 nucleotides) under uncultured bacterium. RNAcentral's name for it is "partial 16S ribosomal RNA". It matches the Rfam family "Bacterial small subunit ribosomal RNA", at positions 30 to 507 of the family's 1533-position model. The record is from RNAcentral.